This 240-nucleotide unclassified non-coding RNA is filed under the name soil metagenome. RNAcentral's name for it is "partial contains 5.8S ribosomal RNA, internal transcribed spacer 2, and large subunit ribosomal RNA". The record is from RNAcentral.
AACUGAUACUACCUGCGGGAACUUGCGGAGGGAUCAUUACUGAAGUGAUUUGGGGAUGUUGCUGGCCCUCUCUCAAGGGGGGGCACUGUGCACUCCUCGAAACAAUUCACAAUUUCCAUCACACCCCUUGUGCACACCUUGUAGGCACCCAAACCCACCUCCGGGUGGUGGGGUCCUAUGUAUUCCUUCAUCUCACACUCUGUUGAAUGGUGCCAUGGGACGCAUCUAAAGGAUUAUUUG